RNAcentral lists this ribosomal RNA (830 nucleotides) under bacterium LGM91. RNAcentral's name for it is "bacterial SSU rRNA". It matches the Rfam family "Bacterial small subunit ribosomal RNA", at positions 57 to 868 of the family's 1533-position model. The record is from RNAcentral.
GCAAGUCGAGCGAACGGAUAAGGAGCUUGCUCCUUUGAAGUUAGCGGCGGACGGGUGAGUAACACGUGGGUAACCUACCUAUAAGACUGGAAUAACUUCGGGAAACCGGAGCUAAUGCCGGAUAACAUAUAGAACCGCAUGGUUCUAUAGUGAAAGAUGGUUUUGCUAUCACUUAUAGAUGGACCCGCGCCGUAUUAGCUAGUUGGUAAGGUAAAGGCUUACCAAGGCGACGAUACGUAGCCGACCUGAGAGGGUGAUCGGCCACACUGGAACUGAGACACGGUCCAGACUCCUACGGGAGGCAGCAGUAGGGAAUCUUCCGCAAUGGGCGAAAGCCUGACGGAGCAACGCCGCGUGAGUGAUGAAGGUUUUCGGAUCGUAAAACUCUGUUAUUAGGGAAGAACAAAUGCGUAAGUAACUGUGCGCAUCUUGACGGUACCUAAUCAGAAAGCCACGGCUAACUACGUGCCAGCAGCCGCGGUAAUACGUAGGUGGCAAGCGUUAUCCGGAAUUAUUGGGCGUAAAGCGCGCGUAGGCGGUUUCUUAAGUCUGAUGUGAAAGCCCACGGCUCAACCGUGGAGGGUCAUUGGAAACUGGGAAACUUGAGUGCAGAAGAGGAAAGUGGAAUUCCAUGUGUAGCGGUGAAAUGCGCAGAGAUAUGGAGGAACACCAGUGGCGAAGGCGACUUUCUGGUCUGUAACUGACGCUGAUGUGCGAAAGCGUGGGGAUCAAACAGGAUUAGAUACCCUGGUAGUCCACGCCGUAAACGAUGAGUGCUAAGUGUUAGGGGGUUUCCGCCCCUUAGUGCUGCAGCUAACGCAUUAAGCACU